GUGGGGAAUUUUGGACAAUGGGCGCAAGCCUGAUCCAGCAAUGCCGCGUGUGUGAAGAAGGCCUUCGGGUUGUAAAGCACUUUUGUCCGGAAAGAAAUGGCCUGGGUUAAUACCCCGGGUCGAUGACGGUACCGGAAGAAUAAGCACCGGCUAACUACGUGCCAGCAGCCGCGGUAAUACGUAGGGUGCGAGCGUUAAUCGGAAUUACUGGGCGUAAGGCGUGCGCAGGCGGCGAUGCAAGACAGAUGUGAAAUCCCCGGGCUCAACCUGGGAACUGCAUUUGUGACUGCAUGGCUAGAGUGCGUCAGAGGGGGGUGGAAUUCCGCGUGUAGCAGUGAAAUGCGUAGAGAUGCGGAGGAACACCGAUGGCGAAGGCAGCCCCCUGGGAUGACACUGACGCUCAUGCACGAAAGCGUGGGGAGCAAACAGGAUUAGAAACCCCGGUAGUCC
This 450-nucleotide ribosomal RNA is filed under the name uncultured bacterium. Its description in RNAcentral is "partial 16S ribosomal RNA". It matches the Rfam family "Bacterial small subunit ribosomal RNA", at positions 354 to 796 of the family's 1533-position model. The record is from RNAcentral.